CCCUCAGCGGUGAGGCCGCGGUCGCUCUGAACCCACCUUUAUAACUCCAGUUGGCACCCUUCUCAGAUUCUUUUCUUUUUUUUAAUAUUGUGAAUACUCGGGCCUUUGGACUGAGCCAGGCUUUUUUAUUUUUCCUCGAGACGGGGUUUUGCUAAAGUGCUAAGCUGCCCAGGCUAGGUUCGAAUUUACGGUCCUCCUGCCUCAGCCUUCCAGAGCGCUGGAAUUAUAGUUGUGUGCCACCGUGUCUGGCCUUUUUCAGUUUCCUAUGACGGUGUUUUUUGUUGGUAUGAGCGAUCAGAGUAUCACAGUAAGGUUGCAGGCUGGUUUUAGGUUUUUUUUUUCUUUUUGCGUUGCUGGGGAUGGAACCGAACGGAGGCCCUGUACCUGGUGGAUAAGCGCUGUACCACUGAGCCGCCGUCCUCUGCUCAGCAGGUUGUUUUUUGGUUUUGUUUUUUGAGACAGGGCCUGGCUUUGCUGUUCAGCCCGGCCUUGAACACCCAGCCUUGGGGGCAGGUUUUAAAAGCUUCACCAUCCUAGUUGGGGUGGUGGUGCACGCCUAUAAUCCCUGUAGUGGGGGUGGGGGAAGGCUGAGGCAGGAGGAUCCCUGGAGUUCAGGACCAGCCUGGGCUAUGUAGUAAGUUCAAUUCAAGGCCAGCCUGAACUUUGCAACCCUGUCUCAACCACCAAAACAAAACACAUAACAAAAAGCUUCCCCAUCAGACCCUCCCUCUCAGAGUGCGAGGAAGUAGAGGGCUCCUUAGAAAACUGCUUCAGGGGGCAGGGUGGUUUUAGAGGAGGAGCUUUCACCUUGGAAUGGAAAAAGGAGCUGGGAGCGGUUUGCAUCAGUUUGCAUCUCAAUGGGUGUGAACAAGAUGCAGUUCUGUUGUCAAGGACCUGUUUGUUCUGUUCUGCCACUUUCAAUGGACACACCACUAAAGAGUGCUGGGAAAGUCUGGAACUUCUUCACUCCUCCUGAGCAAAGAUGUUACUGAUAUUUCAUACGUGAGACUGAAAAGCUCUGCUGGGAACAUUAUCCACAACACAAAAGGGAAGAUCUAUUCUACAAAUGUAAUUCCCACACAACAUGAUUGUUCCCGGUCAAACGUAAUACUACAGCAACAGCAAGUUAAAGGCAUUUAAGGAAGUUGUGGAGCUAGAAGGG
Non-coding RNA from Heterocephalus glaber (naked mole-rat), 1162 nucleotides. NCBI's taxonomy places the organism in Eukaryota, Metazoa, Chordata, Mammalia, Rodentia, Bathyergidae. The record is from RefSeq and is a predicted model, not a curated record.